UACGGAGGGAGCUAGCGUUGUUCGGAAUUACUGGGCGUAAAGCGCACGUAGGCGGUUACUUAAGUCAGGGGUGAAAUCCCGGGGCUCAACCCCGGAACUGCCCUUGAAACUGGGCAACUAGAAUCUUGGAGAGGUCAGUGGAAUUCCGAGUGUAGAGGUGAAAUUCGUAGAUAUUCGGAAGAACACCCGUGGCGAAGGCGGCUUUCUGGGACGGUACUGACGCUGAGACGCGAAAGCGUGGGGAGCGAACAGG
This 253-nucleotide ribosomal RNA is filed under the name uncultured bacterium. RNAcentral describes it as "partial 16S ribosomal RNA". It matches the Rfam family "Bacterial small subunit ribosomal RNA", at positions 524 to 776 of the family's 1533-position model. The record is from RNAcentral.